Bombardia bombarda is the source of this 95-nucleotide non-coding RNA. The record is from the annotation of a GenBank genome assembly. NCBI's taxonomy places the organism in Eukaryota, Fungi, Ascomycota, Sordariomycetes, Sordariales, Lasiosphaeriaceae.
GCUCCGGUGGUGUAGUGGUUAUCACAUCGUUCUUAUAUUUGAGUUUAAAACCUCUUCACAUGCGAAGGUCCUGGGUUCAACCCCCAGUCGGAGCA